ACGAGCCCCAGCUUAAAACUCAAAGGACUUGACGGUAUCCUAACCAACUAGAGGAGCCUGUUCUAUAAUCGAUAAUCCACGAUACACCUAACCCUUUCUUGCUUUCAGCCUGUAUACCUCCGUCGCAAGCUUACCAUUUGAAUGUUCAUAGUAAUGCUUAAGGGUCACACACACCAAAACGUCAGGUCAAGGUGCAGCUCAUGAAACGGAACCAAUGGGCUACAAUCUCUAACUUAGAAUAAACGAAAUACUAUAUGAAACAUAGUAUGAAGGAGGAUCUAGCAGUAAAUAAGUAAUAAUGAGCCUUAUUAAACUCGGCCCUAGGAUGUGUACAAACC
This 338-nucleotide ribosomal RNA is filed under the name Raorchestes anili. Its description in RNAcentral is "partial 12S ribosomal RNA". It matches the Rfam family "Bacterial small subunit ribosomal RNA", at positions 882 to 1391 of the family's 1533-position model. The record is from RNAcentral. Lineage: Eukaryota; Metazoa; Chordata; Amphibia; Anura; Rhacophoridae.